UUCCCUGGAACGGGACGCCUUAGAGGGUGAGAGCCCCGUACGGUUGGCCACCAAGCCUGUGUAAAGCUCCUUCGACGAGUCGAGUAGUUUGGGAAUGCUGCUCAAAAUGGGAGGUAUAUUUCUUCUAAAGCUAAAUACUGGCCAGAGACCGAUAGCGCACAAGUAGAGUGAUCGAAAGAUGAAAAGCACUUUGAAAAGAGGGUUAAAUAGCACGUGAAAUUGUUGAAAGGGAAGGAUUUAUGACCAGACUUUUUCUAGGGGGAUCAUCCGGUGUUCUCACCGGUGCACUUCCCCUAGUUGAGGCCAGCAUCGGUUUCUGUCGGGGGAUAAAAGCUUCGGGAAUGUGGCUCCCUCCGGGGAGUGUUAUAGCCCGUUGCAUAAUACCCUGACGGGGACCGAGGUUCGCGCAUUGCAAGGAUGCUGGCGUAAUGGUUAUUAAUCACCCGUCUUGAAACACGGACCAAGGAGUCGAACAUUUGUGCGAGUGUUUGGGUGUUAAACCCUCACGCGUAAUGAAAGUGAACGGAGGUGAGAGCCCCUCGGGGUGCAUCAUCGACCGAUCCUGAUGUCUUCGGAUGGAUUUGAGUAAGAGCAUAACUGUUCGGACCCGAAAGAUGGUGA
RNAcentral lists this ribosomal RNA (621 nucleotides) under Apiospora rasikravindrae. RNAcentral's name for it is "partial large subunit ribosomal RNA". It matches the Rfam family "Eukaryotic large subunit ribosomal RNA", at positions 186 to 829 of the family's 3401-position model. The record is from RNAcentral. Lineage: Eukaryota; Fungi; Ascomycota; Sordariomycetes; Amphisphaeriales; Apiosporaceae.